This is a long non-coding RNA of Papaver somniferum (opium poppy), 752 nucleotides long. RefSeq lists it as uncharacterized. The transcript has 4 exons. NCBI's taxonomy places the organism in Eukaryota, Viridiplantae, Streptophyta, Magnoliopsida, Ranunculales, Papaveraceae. The record is from RefSeq and is a predicted model, not a curated record.
UUAUUAACUGGAUAAAGUUGGAUUUUUGCUUGGUUGGAUACGGGUGAUAGACUUACAGAGUGUACUCAAUCGUAUAUUUGGCUCAUAUCAGAUCAUCUAAACCUUCAUCUUAAUUGUUAAGCUUGAAUGUUUGGAACUUUAUAUUAUCUAUGACUCUUUUCAUUUGGUUUCUAACAAACUUAGAUUAGUGAUGGAUUUGUUGCAGAUACCCGUCAAGUGAAAUUAGAGAUUUAUCGACCAUGAGGAAGUACUUUUGCUCUUGAACUAAUAACCAUCAAGAUAAAUCCUAUGUCGUGCUCAGGGGUGUGUUGUACUUCACAGACACGGGGCUCAGAGAAAAAGAAAAGAGUAUUGUAAGACUUAUACUCGAUAAAACUAGUACGAGAAUGAAAAGCCUUGGAAUGAGAGGUGUGACCUUGAAUUCCCCUGCACAUCUGAUGCAAUAAAUUUGGUCAGCUUAGAUUGGAAGUAUAUUGGUAGAAGGAUCAACUAUGACUUGUACUCCUCAAACAGUUGAUAUACCGAGGAAAGCUGAUGUUCUUAUUGUUCCUGGCUGCUGGCACUGGAGGGGUGUAUGGUAACUAUCUAAUGAGAUUUUAUCUUUGAUUUAUCUAACUUUAAUGUACUAAAAUGCGACGGGAAAGAUAAUUGACUACUAGUUUUACAAUUGGUAUAAUGGAUUUGUAUGUGUUGAUCCUAGGGAUGCUGUGUAUGGUAAGAAAUUCAAUAUGUUGCCUGGAAAGCUAACAACG